RNAcentral lists this ribosomal RNA (254 nucleotides) under uncultured bacterium. RNAcentral's name for it is "partial 16S ribosomal RNA". It matches the Rfam family "Bacterial small subunit ribosomal RNA", at positions 524 to 776 of the family's 1533-position model. The record is from RNAcentral.
UACGGGGGGAGCAAGCGUUGUUCGGAUUUACUGGGCGUAAAGGGCGCGUGGGCGGCCAGCACAAGUCAGUUGCGAAAUCUCCGAGCUUAACUCGGAACGGUCAACUGAUACUGUGCGGCUAGAGUGCGGAAGGGGCAACUGGAAUUCUUGGUGUAGCGGUGAAAUGCGUAGAUAUCAAGAGGAACACCUGCGGCGAAGGCGGGUUGCUGGGCCGACACUGACGCUGAGGCGCGAAAGCUAGGGGAGCGAACGGG